Molecule: ribosomal RNA, 290 nt
Filed under: uncultured Actinomycetes bacterium
Lineage: Bacteria; Bacillati; Actinomycetota; Actinomycetes
Description: uncultured actinobacterium partial 16S ribosomal RNA
Rfam family: Bacterial small subunit ribosomal RNA
Source: RNAcentral
GACGGCUCUAGGGUUGUAAACUCCUUUCAGUUGAGACGAGGCCUUGCCGGUUAAUAGCCGUGUAAGGUGACGGUAUCAUCACAAGAAGCCCCGGCUAACUACGUGCCAGCAGCCGCGGUAAUACGUAGGGGGCAAGCGUUGUCCGGAAUUAUUGGGCGUAAAGAGCGCGUAGGCGGUCUGAUAAGUCUGCUGUGAAAGUCCAGGGCUCAACCCUGGAAGGUCAGUGGAUACUGUCAGACUAGAGUCUGGAAGAGGUCAAUGGAAUUCCCGGUGUAGUGGUGGAAUACUCA